GGGAAGGAUGAGAAGCUUCGACUAAGGUUCGAUUCGAACGCAGCGAGAAAGCGUUGCCGCAGGCAACGACCCGAAGGGCGAAGCGCGCAGCGCUGAGUCAUCCUUCCCCCACCACCA
RNAcentral lists this small RNA (117 nucleotides) under Salmonella enterica. RNAcentral describes it as "RtT sRNA". It matches the Rfam family "RtT RNA", at positions 15 to 130 of the family's 130-position model. From Rfam's summary of the family: This family represents a bacterial cis-regulatory element known as RtT RNA. Lineage: Bacteria; Pseudomonadati; Pseudomonadota; Gammaproteobacteria; Enterobacterales; Enterobacteriaceae. RNAcentral also lists the same sequence under 2 other names. The record is from RNAcentral.